Small nuclear RNA from Nycticebus coucang (slow loris), 123 nucleotides. The record is from RefSeq and is a predicted model, not a curated record. NCBI's taxonomy places the organism in Eukaryota, Metazoa, Chordata, Mammalia, Primates, Lorisidae.
GUGUUAUAUAAAGGGAGAGGUUAGAACUUCCCUUGACCAGGAUGGAAGAGGCCCUGAGGCCUGACAACAUGCAUAUAGUUAAGGCAUUGCAACCUACUUCAUGGCAUCAAACAACCAUUUUAU